This 911-nucleotide long non-coding RNA is filed under the name Ornithorhynchus anatinus (platypus). Its description in RNAcentral is "lncRNA (ENSOANG00000047003.1)". Lineage: Eukaryota; Metazoa; Chordata; Mammalia; Monotremata; Ornithorhynchidae. The record is from RNAcentral.
CUGUUUCUCGCUAAUAAUUGUGGUAUUUAUAAAGCAUUGGCCAAGGGGAUAGAGCCCGAACCUGGGAUUCAGAAAGACCUGGGUUCUAAAUCCAGCUCCUCCACUUGACUUGACCGAGGCCGCACAACAAACAUUUCACUUCUCUGUGCCUCAUUUCCCCCAUCUGUAAAAUGGGAUUAAGACUGGGAGCCCUCUAAGGGGCAGGGACUGUGUCAAACCUGACUAGUUUGUAUCUACCCAGUGCUUAGACUAGUGCUCAAUAUAGGAAGCGUUUAACAAAUACCAUCACUAUUAUGUGCCAAACUCGAUACAAUGAACUAAAGUUUGGUACAAGAAAGGUAUCAUUCAUGUAUUAGUUGAGUGUUUACUAUGUGUCAAGCGUUAUUCCAAGCGCUGUGAUAGAUACAAUCAGGUCAGACAUAGUCCCUGUCCCACGUGGGACUCUUAGUCUACCUCAGUUCUGAAAGGACAAACCACAGCUACACGAAUUGGGAGCCAGAGAAGAGCAGAGUAAGACGGAAGAUUCAUCGAAAAGUUCUAUUUCCUCGGGGUCAUGCUCAUCUACACUUCUGUUAAGGGCAAGAGGAAGUCAAUUAGGGAGCCCUUCCCCAUGAGCCAUGGACAGGCAGAAGACCCUGGGAAAAGAAGGUAAAUCUGGUUUCAGUCCAGGGCCAAGGGAUGACCAGAGCAAGGCCAGCCCAAGGACCAGAAGAUUUGACGGGUCCAGGACGCCCUCUGAACCAGACCUUUGCACUGACCCUAAGAUGGACCUAGCUCUUGGAGCUGAUCUGGAAUCUGAGGCGCUUCCAGGACGAGAUGGAAAGUGAGCCAUUGACCUGCCUCUGUCACCAUAAUCUCAGAGAAGCACUGUGGCCUAGUGGAUAGACCAUGGGUCUGGGAGUCAGAAAGAC